GUGACGGGCCGUGGGGUGUGCAUCUCCACUGCGGCUGUUGGCACAGCCGCCCUCUCUUGUUCCCCCAGCUGCAGCUGUACUGGCUCCGCUGCCUCUCUUGCAAGCUGCUCUUGAUCCGCCCACUCAGCAACAGCUCUUUCUUCCACUUCUUGUUGAAGACACGCCUCUCCAGCCGCGUGCUCAACAGCUGCCCUUUCCUCGGCGUCCUUUUGAAUCUGUUCCUGUUUAGCUCUCUUGACAUUGCAGCUUCUUCCGCAUCUCGCCUCUGCCGUUCUUGUUCCGCGGCAUAUCGUUCAGCGGCCGCUCUUGCCUCCUCCUCUUCCUGCCUCAGUUGUUCUUGUCGAAGCUGUUCUUGUUCCACAGCAUAUCAUUCAGCGGCCGCUCUUGCCUCCUCCUCCUGCCUCAGCUGUUCCUGUUCCGCAGCAUAUCGUUCAGCAGCCGCUCUUGCCUCCUCCUCUUCCUGCCUCAGUUGUUCUUGUCGAAGCUGUUCUUGUUCUGCAGCAUAUCGUUCAGCGGCCGCUCUUGCCUCCUCCUCCUGCCUCAGCUGUUCCUGUUCCGCGGCAUAUCGUUCAGCGGCCGCUCUUGCCUCCUCCUCUUCCUGCCUCAGUUGUUCUUGUCGAAGCUGUUCUUGUUCCGCAGCAUAUCGUUCAGCGGCCGCUCUUGCCUCCUCCUCUUUCUGCCUCAGUUGUUCUUGUCGAAGCUGUUCUUGUUCUGCAGCAUAUUGUUCAGUGGCCGCUCUUGCCUCCUCCUUCUGCCUCAGCUGUUUCUGUUCCACGGCAUAUCAUUCAGCGGCCGCUCUUGCCUCCUCCUCUUCCUGCCUCAGUUGUUCUUGUCGAAGCUGUUCCUGUUCCACAGCAUAUCGUUCAGCGGCCAAUUUUUCCUCUUCCUGCUGGCGAAGCUGUUCUAGUUCCACAGCAUAUUGUCUUUCCUCCUCCUGCCUCAGUUGUUCUUGUCGAAGCUGUUCUUGUUCUGCAGCAUAACACUCAGUGGCUGCUCUUUCUUCAGCUUCCUUCUGAAAUUGAGCAAGUCUCAAGGCAGCCUCAGCGGCUGCCAUCUCUUCAGCCUUCUUUUGACACUGAGCUUCAUCAGCAGUCUGUUUUUGUGCUUGUUCAUUCUGCAAGGCAAUCUCCCAUUCUUCUCUGCAGACUUCAGUUUCUUCUGCAGUUGCCCUCUCUGCCACCUCUAGCUGCAUUGAGCUUCACUUGCUGUGGUCAGUGGUAUAACCAUCAUUUGCCUGCAAAGAAAGCUGUCCAAAUCCUGCAAGUGAACUGUCACCAGGCAUGAGAAGCAGUGAUAUUGACAAAUUGAGCAGAUCACUUGCUGAAGAGGCUGAUCCAACCCAAGUAUGUUGAAGAGAUGGAGAUAUCAGUGGCUUGUCAAAAAAAACAAAAUAGAUACAUUGUCUCACAAACAAUGUAGAGAUCUUUCCAUUCACUGACAUUUCAUUGAUAUGCAGUUGAUCAAGAAAGAGAAACUGACAGUCUUACUGCUGCACUCUGACAUAUGAAAGCUCACACUGAGUAUUUAGCUUAGUUUUGCUGUCAGAGGUGAAAUUGUAAAAGAGCUGAUGCUCAACAGAGAUAGCAAGAGAGAAGCAUUCUGUGAUGCAGUCAAUAAAAGUCUCAAAUAUUUCACUGUUGUAUUGAAACUGCUCUGAAUUCUGUGCUUUCAGAAGAACAGUCUGUGUGAUCUGACAAUUGAAAAAUAGCUCAAUG
Molecule: small RNA, 1715 nt
Filed under: Histoplasma ohiense
Lineage: Eukaryota; Fungi; Ascomycota; Eurotiomycetes; Onygenales; Ajellomycetaceae
Description: hypothetical lncRNA
Source: RNAcentral